Falco peregrinus (peregrine falcon) is the source of this 269-nucleotide long non-coding RNA. RefSeq lists it as uncharacterized. The record is from RefSeq and is a predicted model, not a curated record. The transcript is spliced from 3 exons. NCBI's taxonomy places the organism in Eukaryota, Metazoa, Chordata, Aves, Falconiformes, Falconidae.
GUAGACAUCAUCUCUGUAGAUAAUCUUCAGUGUUACUCCUCUAGGACCAAAGUCUGAGGCUGAUUUAUCCUGAUAUUGCUGAAGGCAAUGCCUUUGAGCUAUGAAAGAGUACCUAUAAUAUGAUUCCCAGAGAAUACAGCAUGCAGUGACCUUGAUGGGUCACUUGUCCUGCUGCCAAGCCAACGCCCAUUCCUCCUGAUGUGCCUGUCUGCUGAAGCCUUUCCUAGCAUGCCAGACCGAAGUUUUAUUAAGAAGGUUAUAUGCCAAGG